AAGUUCAGAAACUUUGGAAUUGCUUUGAUUUGCUUCAAUGAGGCUCCUGUGAUCACUGGUUGCUACAAUAAUUCCAGCUGUGUAUACCUCCUGGGAUCAUAAUAGAAAUGAACCUCUGAAGCAUCUUACUGAAGAAGGCCCCUACGUUGACUGUCCAGCUGACUGUCUCUACCCGACUGCUGUCCCACACAAUAUGGGCCAGGCGAUGGUAUUGCCUUUGCAAACUAAAUGAAGUUCCUCAAAGUGAAGCUGGUGGCGACUUCAGAGUUAACUUUUCAAAUGGCCGGGCUUAUAUAGAAUAACCUUUGUAAAAGUAAACUAUGAUCAUAUAAUAAGAUACAUGUGCAUUUGGAACGCCACUGCUUUUGGAACCU
Molecule: long non-coding RNA, 374 nt
Filed under: Homo sapiens (human)
Lineage: Eukaryota; Metazoa; Chordata; Mammalia; Primates; Hominidae
Description: HSALNT0180838
Source: RNAcentral